GCCAGACUCCUACGGGAGGCAGCAGUGGGGAAUAUUGGGCAAUGGGCGCAAGCCUGACCCAGCAAUGCCGCGUGAAGGAAGAAGGCUUUCGGGUUGUAAACUUCUUUGACAGGGGAAGAGCAGAAGACGGUACCCUGAAAACAAGCCACGGCUAACUACGUGCCAGCAGCCGCGGUAAUACGUAGGUGGCAAGCGUUAUCCGGAUUUACUGGGUGUAAAGGGCGUGUAGGCGGGACUGCAAGUCAGAUGUGAAAAUUAUGGGCUCAACCCAUAACCUGCAUUUGAAACUGUAGUUCUUGAGUGAUGGAGAGGCAGGCGGAAUUCCGUGUGUAGCGGUGAAAUGCGUAGAUAUACGGAGGAACACCAGUGGCGAAGGCGGCCUGCUGGACAUUAACUGACGCUGAGGCGCGAAAGCGUGGGGAGCAAACAGGAUUAGAUACCCCUGUA
Molecule: ribosomal RNA, 447 nt
Filed under: uncultured bacterium
Lineage: Bacteria
Description: bacterial SSU rRNA
Rfam family: Bacterial small subunit ribosomal RNA
Source: RNAcentral